GAUGAAUGCUAGCGACAGGCCUAACACAUGCAAGUCGAGGGGCAGCACAUGAGUAGCAAUACGAUGGUGGCGACCGGCGCACGGGUGAGUAACACGUAUGCAACCUGCCUUCUACUAUGGGAUAACCCGUUGAAAGACGGACUAAUACCGUAUAAUACAGGGGCUCCGCAUGGAGAUAUUUGUUAAAGAUUUAUUGGUAGAAGAUGGGCAUGCGUAUGAUUAGAUAGUUGGUGAGGUAACGGCUCACCAAGUCAACGAUCAUGAGGGGUUCUGAGACGGAGGACCGCACAACUGGUACUAGGACACGGACCAGACUCCUACGGGAGGCAGCAGUGAGGAAUAUUGGUCAAUGGACGAGAGUCUGAACCAGCCAAGUCGCGUGAAGGAAGACGGUUCUAUGAAUUGUAAACUUCUUUUGUGCAGGAAUAAAGUGGGUUACGUGUAACCUUUUGUAUGUACUGUACGAAUAAGGAUCGGCUAACUCCGUGCCAGCAGCCGCGGUAA
RNAcentral lists this ribosomal RNA (504 nucleotides) under uncultured bacterium. RNAcentral describes it as "partial 16S ribosomal RNA". It matches the Rfam family "Bacterial small subunit ribosomal RNA", at positions 28 to 523 of the family's 1533-position model. The record is from RNAcentral.